RNAcentral lists this ribosomal RNA (375 nucleotides) under uncultured organism. RNAcentral's name for it is "partial 16S ribosomal RNA". It matches the Rfam family "Bacterial small subunit ribosomal RNA", at positions 527 to 896 of the family's 1533-position model. The record is from RNAcentral.
GUAGGUGGCAAGCGUUGUCCGGGAAUUAUUGGGGCGUAAAGCGCGCGCAGGCGGUUCUUUGAGUCUGAUGUGAAAGCCCACGGGCUCAACCGUGGAGGGUCAUUGGAAACUGGAGAACUUGAGUACAGAAGAGGAAAGCGGAAUUCCACGUGUAGCGGUGAAAUGCGUAGAGAUGUGGAGGAACACCAGUGGCGAAGGCGGCUUUCUGGUCUGUAACUGACGCUGAGGCGCGAAAGCGUGGGGAGCAAACAGGAUUAGAUACCCUGGUAGUCCACGCCGUAAACGAUGAGUGCUAAGUGUUAGGGGGUUUCCGCCCCUUAGUGCUGCAGCCAACGCAUUAAGCACUCCGCCUGGGGAGUACGGCCGCAAAGGCUG